UUGUGAAAGAAUUUACAGUAACAUUAAGAUUUGUAGAUUUCUCAGAAAUUCGGGGAAGUCGUGGGAGAAAAACUGGGUAGGAGGAAGUUAUGAGAAACUUUAGCAAAUUAACAGUCUCCUUUUCCUUUCUUUCUUUUUUUUCUCCUUUCAACUGCUUUCUAAUCCUACCCCACCCACCUCUGUUCCCUUAUUCUUAGGGGCUAAUGAAGGGCAAGGGGGUCUGUUCUCCAGAACUGCUUCAAGCUGGCAAGGGACAAUGGCCCUACGUAGCCAGGGAUGGAAAAUCUCAUCCUGCCUGAUCUAAAGGAGACCCAGAAAGUGAUUUGUGCUUCAUGGAUGGGUUGGAAUCCAGGCACUGCCACCCUCUCAACGUGGAAUUGUCACAGUCUGGGAGAUGUGAUGCUCUUGGAAGAUAAAGAAGGACCCUUGGAUCCUCCAGUGGCUCAAAUGAAGAGGAGUCCUGUUCUCCUCUCUCCGGUGGCUUACGGUCCUGGUCCUGUAAGACUUCAAGACGGGCAGGUUUAAGUUUUCAUAAAUGGCUCCACAAUGUUUGGCCGUGGAUUCUGACAGCCACCAGGGUGCUUAAGGAGACCUGGAGGGGGCCUUUCCCUCUGGGGAGAAGCUAGUCAGUGGCUUAUGUUGAGGCCGUGUGAUACUGUAUAAGAAAGUCUGCCACAAGAAUGAGAAGUCAUACUCCAUUUAUGCAUGAUAUGUCGAAAUGCAUUCUACCUUCACGUGCGACUAAUUAGAACAAAUUUAAAAAGAAAAAAGAAAGAAAGAAAACUAGCCUCUUCUUGAGGCCAUCAGCCUCAAAAAGACAGUCCAGUUAUUUACAAUGUAACACAAAGGAGAAUCUGCUGGAAUGGAUGAGGUGUUGCUCAUUUUGAAAGUGAGAGGCCUCGGCUUGUGCAUGAGCAGGGACUUCAAUCUUUUCAUGUCUGAAGGAGAGAAAAGGGGAGUGAUUGCCCCACCUCUUACAGAGAUGCCAACCCUAGAGGCAAGCGUGCCUGCAGUGGAGCUCAUGAAACACUAAUCUGAAGGGGGCGUCACCCUCAUAAUGAGCAACGCCAGCUCAUUCCCUCUGCACACUCCCAGUGGCUGGAGCACCUUUGCCUCUGAUGAGCAGACACACUCUGCUUUCAGGUACCGCUGGAGUCCCAGGAUCCAAUGAACCAUAUUUUCAGUGUUUGGAAAAAAAGUAGAAAAAUGACGUCACAGAAAGGCCUAGACUGCAGUGUGAUAAUGCAAAUGAUUCUCAUUUCUGUACUCAUCCAGGGAAGCAUGAUUACUCACAUAGCAACAGGCAAACACCCUGAAGACUUUCCAAAUGUUGUGUCAAGGAUGUUACCUAUUUGGAUAACUCAAUGAUGGAUAUGCCCCUCUGGUUGGCCGGGGGAGACACUUCCUCAUCCACCGGUGGGUGAGGCCGUGUUGUCUAUCAGGACAGAAACUCACAGAGGGUUGAGAACCUCACUGAGGAUGGUAAAAAUGAUCUGUUCCCAGCUGGCCAAGUUUAAGAUGAGACAAAGAAUCGCCACAGGCGUCUCCCCUACAAGGGGAGACCCAGAGAGAAAGCUCACCCGUGUUUUGAAAAUAAGGACAGGAGUCCAGUUGUGACCGAGAAGAGAGGUGAGCAUGGGGAAUAGUGUUGGAAGAGAGGACUGACUGCCACCCCCUAGUCAUCCAGGGACCUGUUUGUUCUGGAUCAUUGUGAGAGCUGGUUUGGGGGUUCCUUCACAUCAUGGCUGAUUGCCUCCUCUCAUUCUCAGAUGUGGUCUGAGAACAUCACGGAGGAGAUGUGAGGUUGCAUGAGACAUUGGGUGAACUUGUCUCCCUGAAUGAGCUUGUGGAGUUCCACUGGAACUGGGAACAGGGUACGUUCAUUUGGGACUUUUCCUGUGAGGCCACUGCCCAUCCUGGGGUGCACCUUCACCUGGUUGAGUUGGAGGGAAUGAAUGCCUCUUAUUUUUGGUGUCUUUAUAAUCCGAUGCUUAUUGUUUCACUGAUCUGGAAAAGAGGAAAUCUGUAGGCACUUUAGGAGGAGAGAAGAAAGAGUGAGAGAGAGAGGGAGGGCCAGUGAGCUUGUGUUUGACUCCAAAUUGUGGUUCCCAGUCAAGCCCAUACUAUCACUCAAGUAGCUCAGAAAAGGGUAGAAAAAGAAGUUGCAGACUCUUGUGGAAGUGCAGGAAGGGGACAUCAGACCACUCCCCUGACAUGCUUUGCCAGGUCCAUGUCAGCAGAAGGGGGCUCCAGGAGGUCUCUCCAACCGGUACAGACCUCCACUCACAACUUCCUGGCUCUUGACAUGUCACGGAAAAGAGUUCAAGCACACAUCAGGUUUUGGCAAAGAAGAAGAGCCUUAUCAGAAAGCAAAGGUGAGGAUCCACAUUCCCGGGCCCCUUACACUGACACGGGCACCUGCUCUGCUGGUUCUGGGGUUAUGAUAAACUUACCGAUGUGUCCACGAAUGCUCUGAAGCUCCUCCUUUCUAAACACAGAGCUGAAUGACACACCUGCUGCACUGUGACUUGCUUCUGAUGAGUGGCAUAUGUCAUAAGGGACUGGACAUCAUUUUGGUGAUUGAGUUGUAUAAAGACAGUGCUUCUUGGGCUCUGUCUCUCUUCUGUACAUGCUCACACUUGCUCUCUCUUCCUUGAAAGUCACAUCAGAUCAGCUUCUGCAUAUACCCUCACGGAGGAACUGAGACCUCCUGCCAAAAACCCCAUGAGAGCCAGAGCGAGAGCACUUGGAUACGGAACAUUCUGCCCCAAUCAUAUCUUCAGAAACUGCAGCCUUGUCCCCCAACUCGACUACAAGCUCAGCCCCUCUGGGAUCCCUGGAAAAUGUUGAUCAUUUCAAGCUAUGGGUUUGGGGGGAUUUGUUCUGCAGGGGAAGGCGGCCAACACCAGCUCACAUCUCCUGUCCCACUGGCGCCUGGGAUCAGAGGCAGAGAGUAAGAAGAGAACCUGAAGAUGGUGUGAGAAAACAGGCUGGCCUCAGGACAGUGUGUGCCGCAGCUGACACGGGUUCCCUCCUUCACUCCACAGCGGCCCAGGGUCACUGAUGAAGGUCACUGCCGGUGCCCUGGUUUUUAUGCUGAGGGGCUCAUCGAAGCCUAACAAAUACCAGUGGAGGCCCCGUUUGAUUCCUCUCCUUUACACACCACACGGAGGAGACCUUGGCACAGAGAGGUAAAGUGAGUUCCCAAGGCCACGUCACCAUCAGCGCUGAGGGAGCUGGGAUUCUGAAGCAGGCCCCCUGCGGGGGGUCCACCCUCUCCCUCUCUGGCCAACAGCACUCCUCUCCCAGCUGACGGGUGCCCAGACUGGCCUUGGGGACACCGUGACCUCAAAAGAGAGGAGUCACCUGCUGCGGUCCUCCAGCGGUGGCAGCCUGAGGAAGAAUCCUGGGAUUUGGGUCAGAAAGCAAGGGCUUGGUCCGGGCAGCAUGGAUGAGGAAUCACGCCUCUCUCCUCUCAAGACACUGGGAGCCUCUGAGGGGCCGGAGGAGAGGUCCCGCCAGGGUUUCAGGUGGAGAUCCAGGUCCUACUUUUUACCUGGGUUUCCGCAGCUCCUUCCACGCCUCUCACCCUCUGGUAACCAGGGUUCUGACUGAGGCUCUUGAUGCAGGCAUGGCCCUGCGCCACCCAGAGCAUGCCUGAGCAGAAACCCCUCCGUUCCCAGGGUCCUCAUCCCAGAACAGUGCUGCUUCUUCCCUGGCAGCCAGCAACCCGGGCAGCACCCCCGUCCUCCAAUCUCCGGGUGAAGCGGGCAGACACCCUCCUCCGCUUACCCUCUGCUGCACACUUCCCAGCCACUGUCACUGUACCACUGCAAUGACCCUAGGCUGUCCCACACUUCCACGCCUGCCCCGCCAGCUGGUCUUCUUCACGGUCACCCGAAUAUCUUCAAGAAUAUGAGGCCUUUGCAUCAUUCGCUGGUUUCAAGCCUUCAGUGGGCCUCCCGAGACCCAGAGACCCAAGCCUCCAUGCUCCCCCUUCCACAAGCCCCCAGCCCCUCCUACUCCCACUGGAGGUGAUCUGGCCCCGCCCACUGCUGCCGCUGGUAGUCCCACAAUGCUCCCUAGACCUGAGCUCUCCCAGGGGAAGUAAGGAGAGGGCUCGAAUCCCAGGGGAAACUGCUGCAGAAAGGCAUCUUUGAUACCACAGGCCGGCCAGAGUCCCGGGGGGUGCCAACUUGCCCUGGUUGAGUUAGCAACUCUGCUGUAGCCCACAGAACCUCAGGGAAGGUUCUGUCUCAGGCUUCCACCUCCCAGUCCUGCGUGAGUAAGGCUUUGUUAUACUUCUGGCUGUAUGUCACAGAGCAGGAGGCCUCCCAGGGUCCGCUCCUGGUUUUCCAGGCCUGGUUCCCACACCCACUGGUGCGCAGUCUUUGCAUGUGGUCAGUGACUCCCCCCGACAUCUCUGCAGAGAACUGCUGUCUUCUGGCCAUAGAGGCAGCCACCUCCGGCUCAUUGCUGUACCCUCAAGACAGAGUUGCCGGAUUUGACAAACAAAAACACCACAAAAUUCGCAGGACAGACUUGCAGUAAAGUUUUUUUCCUUAUGUGAAGUU
Non-coding RNA from Ictidomys tridecemlineatus (thirteen-lined ground squirrel), 4574 nucleotides. NCBI's taxonomy places the organism in Eukaryota, Metazoa, Chordata, Mammalia, Rodentia, Sciuridae. The record is from RefSeq and is a predicted model, not a curated record.